UGAUCAAGCAUAAUUUAGCCACAUUUUUAUUAUAUUUAUUAUUGCUUAUUUACACAUUUUUCAACUUAAUUUAUGGUUUUUAUCUUGUUUUUGUAGAAAAGGAAGAAAUUGGAAAACUGGAGAAAAAGUGCAGAAAAUGACAAGAAAAGUGAUUGGGUCAGUAACUUGGUCAAAUCACUGCCCAGAUCAAGCUAAAGCAGAAACCUGAACUAUCUCACCAGAGACUGAUUGGGUCAAUGAAUUGGCCAAGUCACCCGCAGGAACAGAAACCCGGAGGCAACACGCAGAAAUGAUUUGGGCAUGACGAUUUGCCCAAAUCACUGCCCAAAUCAAGCGGAGGAAGCAGAGACAGAAAGCUAAAAACUGGACUGACUCACAGAAAGCGAUUGGGGCAGCGAUCUGCCCAAAUCACCGCCCAAUCACACUGACAGCAGAAAAUACAGUAGAAGCGGGAAAGUGCAGAAAUUCAAG
This 471-nucleotide long non-coding RNA is filed under the name Manihot esculenta (cassava). Its description in RNAcentral is "long non-coding RNA (MESC_LNC004648)". The record is from RNAcentral. Lineage: Eukaryota; Viridiplantae; Streptophyta; Magnoliopsida; Malpighiales; Euphorbiaceae.